AUAUCAAUAAGCGGAGGAAAAGAAACUAACAAGGAUUCCCCUAGUAACGGCGAGUGAAGCGGGAUGAGCUCAAAUUUAAAAUCUGGCGGCCUCAGGUCGUCCGAGUUGUAGUCUAGAGAAGCGUUUUCCGCGUUGGCCUGUGUACAAGUCCCUUGGAAUAGGGCGUCAUAGAGGGUGAGAAUCCCGUCCUUGACACAGAUCCCAAUGCUUUGUGAUACGCUCUCAAAGAGUCGAGUUGUUUGGGAAUGCAGCUCAAAAUGGGUGGUAAAUUCCAUCUAAAGCUAAAUAUUGGCGAGAGACCGAUAGCGAACAAGUACCGUGAGGGAAAGAUGAAAAGCACUUUGGAAAGAGAGUUAAACAGUAC
This 364-nucleotide ribosomal RNA is filed under the name uncultured fungus. RNAcentral's name for it is "eukaryotic LSU rRNA". It matches the Rfam family "Eukaryotic large subunit ribosomal RNA", at positions 40 to 398 of the family's 3401-position model. The record is from RNAcentral. Lineage: Eukaryota; Fungi.